Long non-coding RNA from Xiphophorus couchianus (Monterrey platyfish), 2086 nucleotides. RefSeq lists it as uncharacterized. NCBI's taxonomy places the organism in Eukaryota, Metazoa, Chordata, Actinopteri, Cyprinodontiformes, Poeciliidae. The transcript has 3 exons. The record is from RefSeq and is a predicted model, not a curated record.
UGGAACAAAAUUAUAGUCAUGUGACCAUUAUAUUUACAAGCCCCUCCCAUUCUCCCCUUGCCAGGAAGGUGAAGUUGGUGCUGUUGCUGUGGAAUAGAGUGGUUUCGGAGGUUUCUUGCACGUUGCCAUCUCUCUGUCCGAACUCCAGAGGCAACAUCCCUGGGAAGGGCUACAGCCUUCAAUAAAACUACAGUAGGGGAGUUCUUCGACAAGCUGGCUGUAGUGAUGGACAGGUGACACUUUUUUAGUUGCAAAUGUUUUAAGUUAGCUUUACCCAUAAGAUUUGUUUUGAAUUCUGAUAAGGUUUUUUUUUGCCUCUCCUCUUUCAUAGGCACACAUUCCCUCCACACAUGAUUUACAAUGUAGAUGAAACCGGCGUCUUUACAGUUCAAAAGCCACGACAGGUUGUGACAGAGAAAGGAAAAAAGCAAGUUGGUUCUAUCACAUCAUCUGAGAGGGGAGAACUAGUGACUGUGGUGUGUGCAGUGAAUGCUGCUGGGAAUGCCAUACCUCCUAUGUUUGUCUUCCCCAGAGUUAGGUUUAAGGAUGACUUCCUGAUAGGAGCACCUCCAGGAGCCAAAGGUGCCUCCACCAGAACAGGAUGGAUGAAUGAAGACACCUGGCCUGAGUUUCUUGAUCACCUGAUAUGGCACACUCAGUGCACUCCUGAUCGUCCCAUUCUGCUAAUCCUUGAUAAUCUCAAAGCUCACAUUUCACUCAAGGCAGUACAAAAAGCAAAGAGCAACGGUAUUGUUCUGCUCACCAUUCCACCUCACACAUCCCAUCACAUGCAACCUCUUGAUGUAACCGUGUGUAUGGCCCUUUCAAGACCAUGUACAACCAAGCUCUUGAUGGGUGGAUGAGAUCUAACCCUGGCAAAACAGUCUCCAUCUACCAGAUUGCAGGACUUGUGAAUGAGGCCUUCUUGUCAGCAGUAACACCAAGGAAUAUCAUUUCAGGAUUUAAAUCGACUGGGAUUUUCCCGUAUAAAAGAGACAUUUUCCCUGAGGAAGCAUUUGCACCAUCCAUGAUGUCAGACCGGCCAAACCCUGAGCUGCAGCCUGCAUCUACUGAUUCAUCCACUUCAGAAGAUCAGCAUGGUCCACAUCCUGAAGAUGACCCAUUCACUGAUGCCAAUCCAUCCACUCCACGAGGUCCACAUGGAUGUGCCUCGCCAGCAGACUCAGAUGUUCCCAGCCGAAAUGAAUGUGUGUCUCUUCCUGAAAUUCUACCAUUUCCCAAAUGUCCCCCCAGAGUACAAACCAAAAGAAAGCGUGUGAAGACGGCCAUCCUAACAGAUACCCCGGAGAAGCAGGCAAUAGAAAAGGCUUAUGAAGAGAGGCAAAAGAAACUCGCACGGAAAAAGCAAAAUAGCAAAGAAAAGGGAAAACUGAAAAAGAAAGCACCCAAAAAGGAAAAUCAUAGAAAGCAGCUCUGAGGAAAGUGAUGUCCCUGUUCAACUUGAUGAUGAGAACUCUGAGGAUGAGGGAAGUGAUCCUGAAAACACAGAUUUGAGUGUGGGUGACUUUGUCUUAGUUAACUUUUCCACCAAACACAGGAGUCUCCGUUAUGUUGGCAUGGUUAAGAAUGUUGAGGAUGACGAAGUCCUUAUACAAUUCCUCAGAAGAAUCCAGGGAAACAAACAGUGGGAAAAGACCCACGUUUGUUAUAAAAGAAAAUGAUGUGGCACAUGUUCCUAAAGGUGAUGUUGUGAAAAAGCUGCCUCAACCUAAUAGGCCUGGAGGAACCACACGGAGAGAGCAAUUCUUCACCUUUCCCUGUAACUUUCAGGGCUGGAAUGUAGAGUAGGCAUUGUCAUUGAGUAUGAGGCUGAUGUUCUAAUCCAGGUGUGUCCAGCCUCUGUCCUUAGUCCCGAGCUGUUCUAGCUGGUUAUGAUAAGCCUAUUUUCUGAGCCCCAGUCUGUAGUGUGUUCUAGCUGGUUCUGAUUAUGGGUCCAUGUUCUGAGACCCAGACUGUGCAUUAGCUGGUUCUGCUUGUACUUUGCUCUUGACACCCAGAUACUAGCUAAAGGUCCUGUGUUAUGAUUCUCACACUGUGAAUGUUAAUUAAAACAUUUUGAAGUAUA